UGGGGAAUAUUGCACAAUGGGCGCAAGCCUGAUGCAGCCAUGCCGCGUGUGUGAAGAAGGCCUUCGGGUUGUAAAGCACUUUCAGCGGGGAGGAAGGCGAUAAGGUUAAUAACCUCAUCGAUUGACGUUACCCGCAGAAGAAGCACCGGCUAACUCCGUGCCAGCAGCCGCGGUAAUACGGAGGGUGCAAGCGUUAAUCGGAAUUACUGGGCGUAAAGCGCACGCAGGCGGUUUGUUAAGUCAGAUGUGAAAUCCCCGGGCUCAACCUGGGAACUGCAUCUGAUACUGGCAAGCUUGAGUCUCGUAGAGGGGGGUAGAAUUCCAGGUGUAGCGGUGAAAUGCGAAGAGAUCUGGAGGAAUACCGGUGGCGAAGGCGGCCCCCUGGACGAAGACUGACGCUCAGGUGCGAAAGCGUGGGGAGCAAACAGG
RNAcentral lists this ribosomal RNA (429 nucleotides) under Chloroflexota bacterium. RNAcentral's name for it is "Chloroflexi bacterium partial 16S ribosomal RNA". It matches the Rfam family "Bacterial small subunit ribosomal RNA", at positions 355 to 776 of the family's 1533-position model. Lineage: Bacteria; Bacillati; Chloroflexota. The record is from RNAcentral.